CAAUAGCGUAUAUUAAAGUUGUUGCGGUUAAAAAGCUCGUAGUUGGAUUUCUGCUGAGAACGACCGGUCCGCCCUUUGGGUGUGUAUCUGGCUCUUUCUUGGCAUCUUCUUGGUGAACGUUGCUGCACUUGACUGUGUGGAGCGCUACCCAGGACUUUUACUUUGAGGAAAUUAGAGUGUUUCAAGCAGGCAUACGCCUUGAAUACAUUAGCAUGGAAUAAUAAGAUAGGACCUCGGUUCUAUUUUGUUGGUUUCUAGAGCUGAGGUAAUGAUUAAUAGGGAUAGUUGGGGGCAUUCGUAUUUAACUGUCAGAGGUGAAAUUCUUGGAUUUGUUAAAGACAAACUACUGCGAAAGCAUUUGCCAAGGAUGUUUUCAUUGA
Molecule: ribosomal RNA, 380 nt
Filed under: uncultured eukaryote
Lineage: Eukaryota
Description: partial 18S ribosomal RNA
Rfam family: Eukaryotic small subunit ribosomal RNA
Source: RNAcentral